AAACAUUUAUUAUAAUUUUAUUAUUUAAUUUUGUCUCUAUUAAGAUUCUUGUUCUUUU
RNAcentral lists this transfer RNA (58 nucleotides) under Globodera pallida. Its description in RNAcentral is "tRNA-Asp". Lineage: Eukaryota; Metazoa; Nematoda; Chromadorea; Rhabditida; Heteroderidae. The record is from RNAcentral.